Molecule: ribosomal RNA, 484 nt
Filed under: uncultured bacterium
Lineage: Bacteria
Description: partial 16S ribosomal RNA
Rfam family: Bacterial small subunit ribosomal RNA
Source: RNAcentral
AUUGAACGCUGGCGGCAGGCCUAACACAUGCAAGUCGAGCGGAUGAAGGGAGCUUGCUCCUGGAUUCAGCGGCGGACGGGUGUGUAAUGCCUAGGAAUCUGCCUGGUAGUGGGGUAUAACGUCCGGAAACGGGCGCUUAUACCGCAUACGUCCUGAGGGAGAAGGUGGGGGAUCUUCGGACCUCACGCUAUCAGAUGUGCCUAGGUCGGAUUAGCUAGUUGGUGGGGUAAAGGCCUACCAAGGCGACGAUCCGUAACUGGUCUGAGAGGAUGAUCAGUCACACUGGAAGUGAGAAACGGUCCAGACUCCUACGGGAGGCAGCAGUGGGGAAUAUUGGACAAUGGGCGAAAGCCUGAUCCAGCAAUGCCGCGUGGGGGAAGAAGGUCUUCGGAUUGUAAAGCACUUUAAGUUGGGAGGAAGGGCAGUAAGUUAAUACCUGGCGGUUUUGACGUUACCAAAAGAAUAAGCACCGGCUAACUUCGUG